Galleria mellonella (greater wax moth) is the source of this 602-nucleotide long non-coding RNA. RefSeq lists it as uncharacterized. The record is from RefSeq and is a predicted model, not a curated record. The transcript has 3 exons. Lineage: Eukaryota; Metazoa; Arthropoda; Insecta; Lepidoptera; Pyralidae.
UAUCUCUAUGUAACUAUAAGAUUUUAAAAUAAACUAGCUAGUUAAUACACAGCUGUGUCCGUGGCAAUGUUUGUGUGACCGAGAUAAAAAGUAGCCAUCUUGAAUAUUACGUGCAUGCUAAAUUUCAUAAGUAUUAGUUGAGUUGUUAAGGCGCACCGAAGUUAUAAAUAAACAAAUAAACACACUUUUAUUUUUACACUGUUUACUAGUAGUUCAGUUAAUCUGGACCUUAACACUGGUCGGUUCAAGAAUUAUGUGAUUGAUUGUAGUUUUUUUUUUUCUUUUUAUCAAUAUGAAGUUUGUGAGUAUCAUAAUUUUUUUGUUGUAAUCUCGACUUUUAUUUAAAAAAAAGAAUCAGCUGUGUUUUUUGCCUGUUCUUCUCAGUCGAAACUGCAAUACAAACUGGGCGGUAGCUUAAAAAAAAGAAGCGGAAAUGUGCAGCCAAUGUCUGAUAUGAGUCUUUCGAACACAGAUGGUCAACGGUGAGCUGGAGUAUCUCCGCCUUCUCCAGCUUGGCGCUGCCCUGCUUCUCGCAGGCGGCCGGCACCAGUCGCUUCAGCUCCGUCAGCGAGGUGUUGAUGCGGUCGCGCCUCUUCUUCUCG